AGUGAACGCUGGCGGUGGGCCUAACACAUGCAAGUCGAACGGCAGCACAGUAAGAGCUUGCUCUUACGGGUGGCGAGUGGCGGACGGGUGGGGAAUACAUAGGAAUCUACUUUUUCGUGGGGGAUAACGUCGGGAAACUUACGCUAAUACCGCAUACGACCUACGGGUGAAAGCAGGGGAUCUUCGGACCUUGCGCGAUUGAAUGAGCCGAUGUCGGAUUAGCUCGUUGGCGGGGUAAAGGCCCACCAAGGCGACGAUCCGUAGCUGGUCUGAUAGGAGGAUCAGCCACACUGGAACUGAGACACGGUCCAGACUCCUACGGGAGGCAGCAGUGGGGAAUAUUGGACAAUGGGCGCAAGCCUGAUCCAGCCAUACCGCGUGGGUGAAGAAGGCCUUCGGGUUGUAAAGCCCUUUUGUUGGGAAAGAAAAGCAGCAGGUUAAUACCCCGCUGUUCUGACGGUACCCAAAGAAGAAGCACCGGCUAACUACGUG
This 492-nucleotide ribosomal RNA is filed under the name uncultured bacterium. RNAcentral describes it as "partial 16S ribosomal RNA". It matches the Rfam family "Bacterial small subunit ribosomal RNA", at positions 29 to 507 of the family's 1533-position model. The record is from RNAcentral.